GCAUUUCACAGUGUGGCAGUUCAGUCGGCACAUUUUUAUAUAAUAUAAAGUUAACAGAUUAGUGGACUACGCUUGUAUAAGAAAACAUGCUUUUAACAAUGCUAGUCGCACUUUCAAAUUAUAAGUCUGUAGCUUGUGUGUAGUGCGACAUGUAUGUCCUAAAAAUAUGGUGAAGCGAUUAACAAAUUAUUAAGCCAGCGGAGACAGUGUUAUGCUAUGGAAAGUAGGCUAGUGUUUCAAGUUACGUGCCUAUGUAGUUUAUUGAGAUACAAAAAUGGUUGUCGUGAGGUAUAUUAGAUAUGCUUUAAGUCGCGUGUAUGUACAUAAAUGCUUGUCUGCUGGGUUGCGUUGUACAGUAUGCAAUAUAAAUGGUAGUGAGAUUGCAGUUGCGAACUUCUCAUAUAUAUCUUGGUCUAUCUAUCCUACGUUUAGUGUUAAGCUAGUAAACAUGCAGGCUUAGUUUGUACUAUCAUAGUAUGGCUCAAAAGCUUAGCAUAAAAUUACAUGCGAAUACAGUAAAUGAUUAUAAUUCAGGGUGCUCGUCUAUAUAGAGGGUCCUCCCCAUGGGGCCCCCCGUGAUAGGCGUGGGAGUCCGGUCGGCGUUUGUCUGUGAGUAUAGUUGGUGCCUCACAUGUGGACAGUCCCGAUGUCUGUCAGCCAAUGCCUUUGAGAGGUAUGUUAAAGUCCCGUUCGGUGCAGCCGGUCAACCAGCCCAGCACAGUGAGUCCCAGCAAGGAAAUACCUGGAUGGUAUGUCAGCCGUUGAAGGGCCUCCGGCUUGUCGUUUUGUGUUGCCGUCUGACUAUGAGUCCUCCAGCCCGGUUUGUGGAUGCUUCUCUGCGUGGAACAGACCUGCAUUUCCGUCUUCUGUUAGCGGCGGUAUGAUCUCUGCCGCUUGAUGCGGGUUGCCUCAGGGCUCUGCACCAUAAAUCCGUCAUGGUGGUUCCGGAGUGCGUGUGCAGGCUUGUGGGAUUUAUUGGGUCGUGUGCUGUGUAGGCGUCGUAGGUAGGUGUUGAUUCUCCGCCAUCGGGGUUGUACUCUCUUAUUCAGAGAGGGUCUCUGCCACGUCGGGCUGGGGUCGGGUCUUCCGUGUGCUUGUGGGGUUGUUUUGCCCAGAGGAGGCCCAGGUCAUCGGCAACCCUCAGCAUUACUUUCUCUCUCCUCGUGCGACGGCCAUCUUGGGAAGUGCUGCCGGGGAGUGUUCCAUAGCAGGGUGAUAGUUUGCGGCCCAGCUUGGCGUAGUAGUAGUUCCUUAUGUUGCUUAUGUAGACCGGGAUGACCCCCCCGGUCCAGAGGGGGGGGACCCAGACACUGGCCGGAGACCCAGGAGAGCGGCCGUCUCAUCCUGGCUCAAGCUCCUGCAUGCCUUGGGCCUUUGUCGGGUUACUGUAGGUGCCGAGCUUGGCCUUACAUAGUUACAUAGCUGAAAAGAGACUUGCGUCCAUCAAGUUCAGCCUUCCUCACAUUUGUUUUUCAACCUUGAUGGGUAUACCCUUGUAUCCCAGGAUCUGGG
Non-coding RNA from Pelobates cultripes (western spadefoot toad), 1512 nucleotides. NCBI's taxonomy places the organism in Eukaryota, Metazoa, Chordata, Amphibia, Anura, Pelobatidae. The record is from the annotation of a GenBank genome assembly.